This 459-nucleotide long non-coding RNA is filed under the name Lathyrus oleraceus (garden pea). RNAcentral describes it as "Pisum sativum (pea) long non-coding RNA (PSAT_LNC015680)". The record is from RNAcentral. Lineage: Eukaryota; Viridiplantae; Streptophyta; Magnoliopsida; Fabales; Fabaceae.
GAACAGUGAGUGUAUUGUUUCACAGUCGAUAAACUUUUUGCUUAGGUAAAUUGCAUACUCUUUUCGACCAAACUAGUCAUGCUGACCCAAUACGCACCUCAUAGACCCCUCGAGGGUUAUCAAGUACCGGAUUAACAGUUAUUUCUUUCACUGAAGUAUCGGAAUCAGAGGUUCCUGCAAUUUAUCUUUUUUUCAAAUGCCCCUUGGCAAUCAUUUUUCCUACCUGACCGUUUUGAUAUCCCCUUUUUUUCGGUUCAGGCAUUUCUUUCCCCUUUUUAAAUUUUUUUUUUUUUUUUUGCAGGAUCAACUUUGAUUCUUCUGACUUACUCACAACAAGCCUCGGUAGCUUGAUGAAUAGCACUCCAUAAGUGCACUGAUUCGGGCUCAACAGUGUGGGUUAUCUCAACCAAUCAACCAACUCGAUCAAGCCCACCGGAUGCCCCUCUUCUGCUUGGGACU